CUUGCAACCUAUGAUCUUUAUAAUAAAAACAAAUUCUAUCACACGUGCAUCAGUAGGUGGCAGAGAGGAGAGAGGCUGUGUCUACAUCUGACCUGUGAACAUCUGAAUGAGUCAUAACCUAACAUU
Molecule: small nucleolar RNA, 126 nt
Organism: Apodemus sylvaticus (European woodmouse)
Lineage: Eukaryota; Metazoa; Chordata; Mammalia; Rodentia; Muridae
Product: small nucleolar RNA SNORA17
Exons: 1
Source: RefSeq, a predicted model, not a curated record